GGCUAACAAGCACCUCAACUUUCUAAAAAGGCUACCAGAGCUCAGUUGGAGCAGGCUGCUGAGGAGAGGAAUGCAGGAACCAUAUAGGACUCUGCAACAGCCACUAAUAGGUAGGAAGUGGCACUAUUUGCCAAAAUCUCCUUGGAAAAAGCACUGGAAGGAGUUGCUCUGUUAAAGGGGCUUGGACGCAGAUGAAGAACAUGUAAUUGUGUGAUUAAUACAGAAAGCUCCUAAAUAGCAGAAGAAAAAGGGAGAGGGAGAAGAAUAGUUCACAUGAUUUUUCCAUCUAAUGUAUUUAAAUCCACAAACAAAGCAUGGCUGACCAGUUCUUAGCCAGGAUACAAUCAGAGAGCCCAAUGUGCAUGGUUUCUUUGACUCUUCAGGUGAAGGAUGCCAAAAUGGCCUUUUAUUUUUGCUAAUAUCUUCUAAAGUUCAAUGACCUUGCUUUGAGGCUGUUUCUUGGAGCUGCAGCUUCUCUCCCUGUCAAGAGUAUUAAAUUGC
This is a long non-coding RNA of Chelonia mydas (Green sea turtle), 501 nucleotides long. RefSeq lists it as uncharacterized. NCBI's taxonomy places the organism in Eukaryota, Metazoa, Chordata, Testudines, Cheloniidae. The transcript is spliced from 3 exons. The record is from RefSeq and is a predicted model, not a curated record.